RNAcentral lists this ribosomal RNA (440 nucleotides) under uncultured bacterium. RNAcentral describes it as "partial 16S ribosomal RNA". It matches the Rfam family "Bacterial small subunit ribosomal RNA", at positions 338 to 795 of the family's 1533-position model. The record is from RNAcentral.
CCUACGGGAGGCAGCAGUGGGGAAUAUUGCACAAUGGGGGAAACCCUGAUGCAGCGACGCCGCGUGAGGGAAGAAGUAUUUCGGUAUGUAAAGCUCUAUCAGCAGGGAAGAAAAUGACGGUACCUGCUUAAGAAGCCCCGGCUAACUACGUGCCAGCAGCCGCGGUAGUACGUAGGGGGCAAGCGUUAUCCGGAUUUACUGGGUGUAAAGGGAGGGUAGACGGCAGCGCAAGUAGGAAGGGAAAUGCCGGGGCUUAACCCCGGAACUGCUUUGGAAACUGUGCAGGUAGAGUGCAGGAGAGGUAAGUGGAAUUACUAGUGUAGCGGUGAAAUGCGUAGAUAUUAGGAGGAACACCAGUGGCGAAGGCGGCUUACUGGACUGUAACUGACGUUGAGGCGCGAAAGCGUGGGGAGCAAACAGGAUUAGAUACCCCAGUAGUC